UGCAUUCAUUACUGUAAGUCACUCUGGAUAAGAGCGUCUGCUAAAUGACUAAAA
This is a non-coding RNA of Salmo salar (Atlantic salmon), 54 nucleotides long. The record is from Rfam. NCBI's taxonomy places the organism in Eukaryota, Metazoa, Chordata, Actinopteri, Salmoniformes, Salmonidae.